Molecule: ribosomal RNA, 497 nt
Filed under: uncultured bacterium
Lineage: Bacteria
Description: partial 16S ribosomal RNA
Rfam family: Bacterial small subunit ribosomal RNA
Source: RNAcentral
GAUGAACGCUGGCGGCGUGCCUAAUACAUGCAAGUCGAGCGAACAGACGAGGAGCUUGCUCCUCUGACGUUAGCGGCCGACGGGUGAGUAACACGUGGAUAACCUACCUAUAAGACUGGGAUAACUUCGGGAAACCGGAGCUAAUACCGGAUAAUAUAUUGAACCGCAUGGUUCAAUAGUGAAAGACGGUUUUGCUGUCACUUAUAGAUGGAUCCGCGCCGCAUUAGCUAGUUGGUAAGGUAACGGCUUACCAAGGCAACGAUGCGUAGCCGACCUGAGAGGGUGAUCGGCCACACUGGAACUGAGACACGGUCCAGACUCCUACGGGAGGCAGCAGUAGGGAAUCUUCCGCAAUGGGCGAAAGCUUGACGGAGCAACGCCGCGUGAGUGAUGAAGGUCUUCGGAUCGUAAAACUCUGUUAUUAGGGAAGAACAAAUGUGUAAGUAACUAUGCACGUCUUGACGGUACCUAAUCAGAAAGCCACGGCUAACUACGUG